RNAcentral lists this ribosomal RNA (430 nucleotides) under uncultured bacterium. RNAcentral's name for it is "bacterial SSU rRNA". It matches the Rfam family "Bacterial small subunit ribosomal RNA", at positions 96 to 522 of the family's 1533-position model. The record is from RNAcentral.
CGGCGGACGGGUGAGUAAUGCCUAGGAAUCUGCCUGGUAGUGGGGGACAACGUUUNGAAAGGAACGCUAAUACCGCAUACGUCCUACGGGAGAAAGCAGGGGACCUUCGGGCCUUGCGCUAUCAGAUGAGCCUAGGUCGGAUUAGCUAGUUGGUGAGGUAAUGGCUCACCAAGGCGACGAUCCGUAACUGGUCUGAGAGGAUGAUCAGUCACACUGGAACUGAGACACGGUCCAGACUCCUACGGGAGGCAGCAGUGGGGAAUAUUGGACAAUGGGCGAAAGCCUGAUCCAGCCAUGCCGCGUGUGUGAAGAAGGUCUUCGGAUUGUAAAGCACUUUAAGUUGGGAGGAAGGGCAUUAACCUAAUACGUUAGUGUUUUGACGUUACCGACAGAAUAAGCACCGGCUAACUCUGUGCCAGCAGCCGCGGUA